AAUCUUGUCUUUCUGUUUGCCCCCUCAAUCGAGCGACACAAAGGCUGAAUUACUCAUUCAAACCUCGCGGGACAAAGGGAAAGGAGCUGGAUAGCACUCCUGCAUUUGUAGUCAAACAUUUAGAGACUUAAAUCGAGUCGUCAUGAAGGAGAAAGAGUCGGACAAAGCCCAUAGAAUUGCCAUCAGCAAACAUUUUCCUGUGUCAUAUUAUGGGGUCUCCAUGGCUCCCUCUGGCCCGCGGACAAUAGCACAAGUUUGCACACUCGAAUACUGUCACCCUGCCAACGGCAGCGCAACAAGGGCCCAAAACAGGACAAUCCCCAGAGAAAGCAUGGGCUCCGCGGGGAAAGUUGCAAUGGAGGAGGAAAAGGGGACUUGUGAAAUGCUAAUUGAGCUUCAUCCCCUUAUUGAAGUGGAAAAAGAGUACCUAUCGUUCCAUUGAAGCUCAGCAGCAGUGGAGUGAGAUGUGAGGAAACUGUUGUCUGCUUCUCAGCAAAGCUGUCCAGAAUACAUCCAUUAGUGGAACUUUCUAUGGGGCUGUGAUGUAUGUUGGGCAGAUUGCUGCUUGUUGGGAUGAGGUGAGGCAGCAGGAAGGAACCAGGAGGAUGUAGUGCUUUUCUCUUGUCAGAUAAUCGAUACUGGGACAGACUGUAGGAGAGGAUGGACGAGCUGAACCACUGGGCACAGUAUAUGCCAAAUCCAGGCCUGUUGUAUACUUCAAAAACUCUGCAAAAUCUCUGCAUUGUAUGUGCAAAUGCAGUUUAACAGCAGCUGCGGA
This is a long non-coding RNA of Siniperca chuatsi (mandarin fish), 778 nucleotides long. RefSeq lists it as uncharacterized. The transcript is spliced from 3 exons. NCBI's taxonomy places the organism in Eukaryota, Metazoa, Chordata, Actinopteri, Centrarchiformes, Sinipercidae. The record is from RefSeq and is a predicted model, not a curated record.